UGGGCGGAGUAGAUCGAUCUGAAACCUAUCCUUUUUUAUUUCAGAACGACGAAUGAGAUUAAAAAACUAGUCGCUGCCCGACAGAUAGUGGCUCCCUAAGGUUCUUGAACCGCAGCAGUUUUUAGCGAUCCAGUCGAUGGUCACCUGAUAAAAAUGAGUAUUCCACAAAAAACGGAGGCGGACCGGAUUCAAACGACUAGCAGUUGGCGGAGGAGUGUUUCCGAAAAGUCUACGUGUGCAAUAAGAAACUCUCGGCAUGGAGAUUCUAGUGGAAGACACCAUGCACUCAUCCUUCACAAAAUGGCUUGGGUGCUAGAUGGUAAGACAUUUAUUUUCUUUAUUUGGUAUUUUUGGAGCUUCUUUCAAUGAUCUCUACUGAGAAACAGAUAUGAUUUAAUAGAAUAUUUGAGAAAGUUUCCUGAUUUCUGUAAGGCAAUCAUUAAUAAGAAAUUAAUCCUAUUGCAGUAUUCACUCAAUUGCACUUAUUCCGGUGUCUGGAGAGCUGCUGUCGGAGAUGUUGUUCGCGUUGGCAACCACCAUAGAGACCUGUGCCAUCAAUUAAAAACGGCUCUAAUGAAAGAACCAUUAUGGGCAACUUUAAAAAAGGGAAAAUUGAGCCGGACAAUGAAAUCGCAGUCGAGAAAAAAAUCUAUGCUGGUUAGCUGCAGUAAACUGCAAUACAACUUUGUCCCAUCGUAGAUAUACUUCAAAUGAAUAAUUAAGAUUUUUGUUCACGCCAGCAAAUGUUUCGUCUCCCGGAAGCGGAACGUCUUUGAUUGUCGAACAAAACCGCCGAGGAGCCGUAAGGCUGCGCUUUUCAAUAACAAGGAAAAGUACAUCGAGGAAUCCGUCCCUUGAAAACAAGUUGAUGAAUUCCAUCUCGUAUGUAACCAAAAGUAAACAAAAUGUAGA
Molecule: long non-coding RNA, 912 nt
Organism: Uranotaenia lowii
Lineage: Eukaryota; Metazoa; Arthropoda; Insecta; Diptera; Culicidae
Exons: 3
Source: RefSeq, a predicted model, not a curated record